This 503-nucleotide ribosomal RNA is filed under the name uncultured bacterium. RNAcentral's name for it is "bacterial SSU rRNA". It matches the Rfam family "Bacterial small subunit ribosomal RNA", at positions 28 to 578 of the family's 1533-position model. The record is from RNAcentral.
AACGAACGCUGGCGGCAGGCUUAACACAUGCAAGUCGAACGCAUCCUUCGGGAUGAGUGGCAGACGGGUGAGUAACACGUGGGAACCUACCCAAAGGUACGGAAUAACACAGGGAAACUUGUGCUAAUACCGUAUGUGCCCUUCGGGGGAAAGAUUUAUCGCCUUUGGAUGGGCCCGCGUCGGAUUAGCUAGUUGGUGGGGUAAUGGCCUACCAAGGCGACGAUCCGUAGCUGGUCCGAGAGGAUGAUCAGCCACACUGGGACUGAGACACGGCCCAGACUCCUACGGGAGGCAGCAGUGGGGAAUAUUGGACAAUGGGCGCAAGCCUGAUCCAGCCAUGCCGCGUGAGUGAUGAAGGCCUUAGGGUUGUAAAGCUCUUUCAGCUGGGAAGAUAAUGACGGUACCAGCAGAAGAAGCCCCGGCUAACUUCGUGCCAGCAGCCGCGGUAAUACGAAGGGGCUAGCGUUGUUCGGAAUCACUGGGCGUAAAGCGCACGUAGGCGG